RNAcentral lists this long non-coding RNA (1928 nucleotides) under Sus scrofa (pig). RNAcentral describes it as "lncRNA (ENSSSCG00050056388.1)". Lineage: Eukaryota; Metazoa; Chordata; Mammalia; Artiodactyla; Suidae. The record is from RNAcentral.
ACGCGCCAGCUCUAGGGCCUAUCCGCUGCGCUCUGUCCACAGCUGGAUGUCGGAAAUGGUAGUUGCGUGCAGCUUUCAAGGCCGGAGGCAAUGGUGUCAGCUAAGAGAAUGACUUGUGGCUGGGAUCGUCCCUUCCAAGAAGCUCUCGGUCGCAUUCCAGCGUCUCGGUGGAGUCGAUGGUGGUACAAGAGUCAUAGCCCGCUCCGGAGAAGAGGCAAGUCACAGUCUCGUUCCUGAAGGCGCCAGAAGAGAAAUUACAGGCGCCGCUCGCUAUUCUGCUGGAGGUACCUCUCUCAGGAAAGGUCCUAUUACAGAAGGGCCUCUUUGAUCACGCGCAGGCGAUAGCACUAGGUCUUUUACCCUGUGGUGUAUCCGAAAGAACAGAGCACCUGGAGGGAGAGAUCCAGGAAGAGGUCGCGGAGCAGAACCCGGUUUCACAUAAGUAAAAGAGAUGAAAUGGAGCUAUUAGCACUAGCAAAAGCCUGCACAGCUAAAUCCUUAGGAAUAGCCAACCUUGACCUGCCAGCUAGUCUCAGAACUGUUACUGGAGUUAAAGAAACAGUGGAACAGCUGUACCAAAUACCGCAAAGCUCGAAGUAAACCAGAUUUAUCCAAACAAAACUUUAAGAAAAACUACUCUUAGAAAGAUCUGGUGAACCAUUUUUGUUUGAUUUACCUUAGGUUACACUCCUCAGAAAACCUAGCUGAAUGUAAUUUGCCAAAGUCAAAAUAACAGAUCUGAAAACAGUAGAGAGGCUCUCACUCAUGAAAGUGGAGCAGUAACGAACUUUGUUUUGGGGAACCAACUGGAGCAGAUUGGGACUGUUCCCGAAAGUCCCAUUUUCUAAGACAUCUGUCCUGGGUGAAAAUGCCCUGGUUUUCAGCAGUGAGUGCAAAUAUUUGAGGGGAGCGCAGGGGUACAAAACCUAUAUUGUGGCCCUCCCAAGAGAGGCUGAAGACAACACCCUUUUUUAUGAAUGAAUAUGGUGAUUGUCUGCCUUCUGUUAACCACUGAUACCGGCAAUCUGGAUUUGUGUGGUUCACAUAGUAUAUCUACAUAACAUAGCAUUCUCUCAGAGCAGCUUAAAUUCCAGACAGGAGCGUUAACAGGCCAGUUAACUUUUGUGCUUUGCAUGGAGAUAGUGCUCAUGUAAUUUUUAACUUUGUGAAUAUUGAGACCAUGGUUUCUAAGAGUUCAGAUAUGAAAAUGAGAAUGAGUUCAAUACCAAUGCCAGCCUGACAGUACCAAAAAGAAGACUAAAUGGCCCUGGUUUUUCUUUCUUUCUUCUUCUUUCUUUCUUUCUUUCUCUCUUUCUCUCUUUCUCUCUUUAUCUCUUUCUCUCUUUCUCUCUUUCUCUUCCUCUCUCUCUCUCUUUCUCUCUCUUUCUCUCUCUCUCUCUCUUUCUUUCUCUCUCUCUCUCUCUUUCUCUCUUUUUAGGGCCACACUCGAGGCCUAUGGAGGUUCCCAGGCUAGGGGUCCAAUUGGAGCUGUAGCCACUGGCCUACGCCACAGCCACAGCAACUCCGGAUCCGAACCUGUGUCAUCAUGAAUACUAGUUGGGUUGGUUAACCACUGAGCCAUGACGGGAACUCUGGCUCUGUUAUUUUAAUGACAGAUAGAAGGACACUGGAUUAGGGAUGUAAAUAAUCCAGCAUACUGUACAAUAUGCAGGAAAAGAAUUUGGGGUUGGCCAUGGUGGAGAAGGGGAUGUGAAAACACGUAUGGAGACUGAAUCCCACAAGUCUGGAAUGAGACAAGCAGGCACUUUUGAAUCAAUACAGUGUUUUCAUUGCCCUGAAGGACACCAGCACUCAGUCAAAAAUAGCAGCUGCUGAAUUAGCUUGGGCAUACCACGAAAGGAUGAACAUGCCUUGUCCUAUUGCUCCCUUGAUUGCUUAGUGAAACUGAAUAAAGUUAUAUUUCCAGA